GAUGAACGCUAGCGGCAGGCCUAAUACAUGCAAGUCGAGCGGCAAGUCGAGGAGUAAUCUGAGACCUAGAGCGGCGUACGGGUGCGUAACGCGUAUGCAACCUACCUCAUACAGGGGGAUAGCCCGGAGAAAUCUGGAUUAAUACCCCAUAGCACAGCACAAGGGCAUCUGCGAGCUGUUAAAGAUUCAUCGGUAUGAGAUGGGCAUGCGUCUGAUUAGCUAGUUGGCGGUGUAACGGACCGCCAAGGCGACGAUCAGUGGGGGUUCUGAGAGGAAGGUCCCCCACACUGGCACUGAGAUACGGGCCAGACUCCUACGGGAGGCAGCAGUAGGGAAUAUUGGGCAAUGGACGAGAGUCUGACCCAGCCAUGCCGCGUGCAGGAAGAAGGCCUUCUGGGUUGUAAACUGCUUUUAUCUGGGAAGAAAAGGCCCAUGCGUGGGACAUUGCCGGUACCAGAUGAAUAAGCACCGGCUAACUCCGUGCCAGCCGCCGCAGUAA
This 499-nucleotide ribosomal RNA is filed under the name uncultured bacterium. RNAcentral's name for it is "partial 16S ribosomal RNA". It matches the Rfam family "Bacterial small subunit ribosomal RNA", at positions 28 to 523 of the family's 1533-position model. The record is from RNAcentral.